AAAAUUAAUUUUUUUUCCUUAAUGAGCGCCGUCCAAAGAAAAACCUCAAGCCCUUUUAAUGCUUUUAAACUCCGUUGUCACUUUCUGUGAAAUUAGGGUUUCAACCUUUCCCCCACAAAAUUUGUGCUUGCAACCUAACUUUCUGGAUUAUGUCCUUAUUAUCGUUCUGGCGAUCGGGAGAGGCGAGAGUUAGAAAGAGCUGAUAGGGGAAGUAGAAAGCCUAGUGUUCCUUACCUAACUCCUUCAAGACUCAUCGACUUUUUGAAGCUUCGUUGUUUUAUUGGCUCAUUUACGAGAUAAGAGGAUCUGAUUCCACAGUUUAUAUUUCUGGUUGUUUUCCAUAAAGGUUUGUGGGGCAAGAUGAUUUAUAUGAUAGUAUUUUAACGCAUAGAUGUGCUGAAGGUUAUGAGAUUGUAUUUUGUAUAUGGUGGUAACAGUUCUGUUUUUUGUAGUAGAAAGGGUUCGAGCAAAAUUGCUUUGUUUAAAGGGUUAAGAUGCCAUCUACAUAUUUUUCAAGAUUAAGAACUGCAGUACAGAAUGAAAUUUCGUGUUCGAUUAUAGGGAAAGAGUGUAGGCUCCAAGAUUUAACUGAAACUCUAGUCGGCCAGGCAAAGUCUCGGUUUUACAGUUAUAGAUUAUUUCAUUCUGCACGAAUUGUUUCGCUUGAAGACAUACAUGCACUUUUGAGACCUGGUACUCUUGUUGCUGCUCAAUUUGAUUCGCAAUUAGUUAAUCGUAGAAGGAAUAUCUCUGUUGUUGGAGCACUUUCUCGCACAUUUUCUGUACCUUCUGUAUCAGGCCCUUCAGUUCAGGUUUGUGGGUAUCACAUUGACCGCGCCCUUUGUCAUACUAGUCAAACACCAGGCAGUGGGAAAUUGCAGAAUAAGCUAAUGGCCACCUGUACGUCCAGGGCUAUAAUUGAAUAUUUCCAGGAGAAUCUAACUUCAAGGGGUGGGCAUCUUCCAUUUUCAACCAACAAAGCCAGCAUCUCUUAUGACAGUAGAAGUUCCCAGAGUUACAGAAAUGUCAGUAUGAGUUUGAAGAACAGAAAGCAAUCCACCGAUUCUCCCAUUUAUGGAUAUUUUGGCUACAAUAUCAUGAAGAAAUGGUGUGACUUUUCUCCAUACAUAGAGACAGGAUCUAGAUAUUUCCACAGCUCAACUCCUUCAUGUUUGUCAGCUGGAACUGCACCUGAUAUAACCUUUGAGAAUUCUGCCCAUGAGGAACAGCUUGAAACUUCUGCAGUUUCCUCAGAACAGAAGAGUUCUGCUGGCAAAACACUGAAGCUAAUCUCAGGAUCUUGCUACCUGCCCCAUCCUGAUAAGGAAGAAACAGGGGGAGAGGAUGCUCAUUUCAUUUGUUCAAAUGAACAAGCAAUAGGUGUGGCUGACGGUGUUGGUGGUUGGGCAGAUCUUGGCAUUGAUGCAGGGCAGUAUUCUCGUGAACUUAUGUCUAAUUCAGUAUCUGCUAUUCAACAGGAACCCAAAGGUUUAAUUGACCCAGCAAGGGUCUUAGAGAAAGCUCACUCUAGCACAAAAGCCAAGGGUUCCUCAACAGCCUGUAUCAUAGCACUCACAGAUGAGGUAUGACAUUUUCAUUUUGAUAUCCUUUAGUUUCAGUAUCUGCACUGCCAGUUUGUGAUGAUGAAUAGCUUUUUGGAAUAACUGUGAGUCUUGGAGUAUAUCAUCUCUUUUUAGUCAUGGUGAAGACUAUGCAGCCUUUUCUUUAGUUUGAGAAAAUCCUUAGAUUUGUUAUUUUGUUAAAUUACUAAAUGGAGUUGGGCACGUUGAGCCCCAUUCUUCAUCUUGUCCUACUUUGCAUAAUCAUAUGCCUCUUUAAUUCUUGCAUUUGUUUUCAUCCUCAUUGAUAUUUCUGCUUAAUUUUACUACAAUUAUUUAUUAUGGUAGUGGAAAUUCCUUAUCAUUACCUGAUUUAUAGGAACUCAAUUUCAGUUGAUGUCAUCUAUUUAGGAAUUCAGUAUUACAUUUUCAUAAAAAUACUAUACCUCUUAAUUCACCAUAACAGUUAUGGCUUGUGGUGGCUUGAUGAACUUGAAAGGGAACUUUAUUACUUCCUACCUUGUUGAUAUGUGGGCAUUUUCUAACUUGUUUCUCCUUUUGAUUUGAUUUCACAUUCAAAUUUUACUUGUCUAUUCAUGACAACUUCCAAUUUAAUGCUACUCCACACUUCCACAUAGUGAGACUUCUGGUUGUUCACUUUCUUGAAAGUUGAAACAAGAUAUUAUUACUGAAUUAUUAGCAAAAAAUGUUGAUAUUUUUUAGGGUCUCCACGCUAUCAAUUUAGGGGAUAGUGGUUUUAUAGUGGUUCGAGAUGGAUGCACUGUAUUCCGCUCUCCUGUGCAGCAGCAUGAUUUUAAUUUCACCUAUCAACUAGAGAGUGGAAACAAUGGUGAUCUACCUAGCUCUGGUCAGGUUUUUACAAUUGCUGUUGCUCCUGGGGAUGUUAUAGUUGCUGGAACAGAUGGUUUGUUUGACAACUUGUACAACAAUGAGAUUAAUGCAGUGGUGGUUCAUGCGACAAGAGCUGCCUUAGGGCCUCAGGUGACAGCACAGAAAAUAGCUGCAUUGGCACGACAACGAGCACAAGAUAAAGACAGGCAAACCCCAUUUUCCACUGCUGCCCAAGAUGCUGGAUUUCGCUAUUAUGGUGGCAAGCUUGAUGACAUUACUGUUGUUGUUUCAUAUAUUGCCAGUUCUGAAGAUGUACGACUCCCUAUCUCAAGCAUGUUUACACUUGCUAUUCUUUAUAAUUUCUUUUCCAGAUGCAACUCUAAUUUUCUUUUGCCUGGUUAAUGAUUCUAGUUUAGCAUGGUUGGCAGUUAGCACUAGAGAAAUAUGUAGAGCCAUGUGUUCUGUUUCACCUAAAUUUCAGUGUUGCAUGCUCAUUACUGUCUAUCGCAAAUAACUCCAAGUAACUGGGUUUUUUAUGUUGUAAUAAUUUUUAUGAUGCUCAAAAUGUUUCAUGCAUGCUCUUUAUCUGCCUUAAGCAAUAUGGAUUUCUUUUAUGUUGCGAAUGCUAAUGUCCUUCUGUUUCAAAUUAUGUAGGAACAGCAAUCUUCAUAAUUAUCUCUCCCUUCUUAAGGAUUUGCAUGGAUCCAGUUUUGUUGAUAGGAAAAUCAAUUCGUAUGCUGUGGGCAUCGGAUUUUGUUGAGCUUUGAACGUUGAUCGAAGGUGCUUUCUACAGUCAAAAGUACAGUUGAUGUAAAUAGUUAUUUCCUUAUCUAUUAUGGUUUAUUAUUUUGCCGCUAAAGACAACAGACGGGCUUGCUGGACCAUGUGCAAUUCCAGCUACUGCCAACGGGAUUAGUUGAAUUAAUUAAUAAUAGUUUCUAAGUCAUUUUGAUUGUGUGGGAUACUGUUUUAGUUGCAAAUUAAACUUUUGUUCAUAUUAUUU
RNAcentral lists this unclassified non-coding RNA (3414 nucleotides) under Hevea brasiliensis (rubber tree). The record is from RNAcentral. Lineage: Eukaryota; Viridiplantae; Streptophyta; Magnoliopsida; Malpighiales; Euphorbiaceae.